Molecule: non-coding RNA, 4519 nt
Organism: Callithrix jacchus (white-tufted-ear marmoset)
Lineage: Eukaryota; Metazoa; Chordata; Mammalia; Primates; Cebidae
Source: RefSeq, a predicted model, not a curated record
UCCUGGACUCUAGCAAUCCUCCCUUCUCAGCCUCCCAAGUAGCAGGGACCACAGGCAUCUGCCACCACACCUGGCUAAUUUAAAAAAAUUUUUUUCAUAGAGAUGGGCUUUCACCAUAUUGCCCCAGUUUGUCUCAAACUCCUGGGCUCAAGUGACUUUAAAUUUUUUAAAGUCAAAUGCAAGUCUGUUUGGCUGGGCUUGGUGGCUCACGCUGGUAAUCCCAGCACUUUGGGAGGCUGAAGUGGGUGGGUCAUUUGAGGUCAGGCAUUUGAGACCAGCCUGGCCAACAUGGUAAAAUCCCACCUCUACUAUAAAUAGAAAAAUUAGCUGGGCCUGGUGAUAGGUUCCUGUAGCCCCAGCUACUCAGGAGGCUGAGGCAGGAGAAUCGCUUGAACUCAGGAGGCUGAGGCAGGAAAAUCGCUGAGAUUGCACCACUGCACUUCAGCCUGGGUAACAGAGCAAGACUCUGUCUCAAAAAAUAAAAAUACAAAAUACAAAAAGUCAAAUGCAAGUCUGUUUGAAACUCUAGCAAGGAUUGUGGUUAGGAUCUCUGGUGCAGUCAGUAUAGCUGCUGGUAGAAAAUCACUAAUUUUGAAAUGUCUCAAAGCGGUUUCCACUUGUUGAGCAAGCUAACUGCUGUUUAGUGAGAUGGGGCGUUUGGAAGUGACUUGAUGUGGCCAUUCACGCAGCCAUAACUUACGCAUAACUUCUCUCUUUUUUUAUGGCUGCAACAUUUUAUGGUUACAUGUUAAUCACAUUUUCUACUUCCUUCCCCCUAAGCUCAGUGCAGGCAGUGAUGUUGAAGAGCCUCCUCUCAGCACGAAGUGAGGACGCCUGAGUUCUUAGUUGAUGGCAGCCUGCAGACUUGGAAGUGUUCCCUUCGGUUAUCCUAGAGAAUGUGGGCUUGUUUGAGGUCAGGAUGCGGGAAGUGUCUGUGCUGGCCCGACCCACCGGGUCCCUGGGGAGCCAUAUUUCAACAGCAAGAAAAAUGUAUCAUUCUUUCUCUUAGUUUCAAGUCCAGAUGUGCACACUCUGAGGAGGCAGCAUGCUGAGAUGUGCUCAAGAUGAACGUUCAGGGCAGCUGCUCUUCAGAAGCAAGGCUUGUAAUAUGGCCCCAAGUACCCUCUCCUGCUGUUGGUCUGGAAUUGACAUUGCCGGUCCAGAUGUUUUGAGAGAAGCUGUAAAUCUCUGGCUGCCUCUGAUUUGAUCUAAUGAGGGGGCAUGACUCUUGGGACUAGUGGGCGGGAUGACUCCUCGGUGGGGUACCUCCAGCCAUCCUUCGGGGGUGGCCUCAGGGUGUGAGUUAUGGCCCCAGAGGACUCAUCAUUACUUGAAAGUUUUGCAGAUGGAAUUGUUACCUAUGUCUCCAGAUCUCAGGAGGACAGGAGGACUUACAUGUUCCAACAGACUGGCUGAUUCUCAUAGCUGUGAUCCCAAAAUUCUGUGGAGAAAAGCACAGGGAGCUCUGGGAUGUGAAUCCUGGAGAUCCGGGAGAGGCUGGUGUUGCUGAGAGACGAAUGCUCUUCUACCAACCCAGAAGAGAAUGCCUGGCUGAGGACGAGAUGAUGGGAGCCGAGGCCAUGUGUCCCAGUGAGGGGUGUAGUCUGGCUGGAGAAGGAGCAUUACUCCCCGAGGGACAAGGAACAUGGCUCUGAGUGAGACAGACAGAGUUCCUGGCUUCAGAGGGUUUACAGUCCAGUGGGGAGGCAGGGAAGACAGGCAAACAAAGAAGAAUGCCAGGUAGGAAACACUAUAAAAGAAUCACAUUUUCUUUCACAAUCAGACUACACUUCUAAAGUCUAGUGAGCACUUAUUUUCAGCAAAGCACUUUGCUAAUGAUGAAACAAAUAGUUUUGUAUGCAAGUAUCGCUUUCUUAAAAAACAAAAGCAGUUUCAUACGGUUCAUGUUCUCUGAUCCUCACGAGAACCUUAUAAAGUAAACAGGAUGGACAUUAUUUUGAUUAUUAACCCCAUUUUGCAAAUGAGGAAACUGAGACUUAUUUUAGCAGCAAUGCAGCCAGUGAGUGUGCAGGAACUCACAGCCUCUGACCCCAGCUGCUCUCCACGCGCCUCGCUGCCUCACCGCCUCACCUUGACGAGUUUGCUGAUGGCUUACCCUCGUUUCCCAAGCCAUCUCUGGUUUGGUCGUUAGCAGUAUGGUCUGCCGGUUUUUAACAAAUGUAUGCAUUCAUAUAUUUAUGUGAUGAUUUUGGUGGUUUGGAAAACAGAUCUUGCAUCUCGGCCUUUGUAGAGAGGAUGCUGAUGCAGGGAGCCAGGAGGAGGCUGGCCAGCACCCAGAGGCCCUACUGCAGAGCAGGGGGAGGUUUCCACAUCUGGAAGUGCAGAGUGAGACAUCUGGGGAGGUCAAGUGGCCACUCGGUCAAUAGCCAGGACUUGGGGUCGGAUCAUGGCAACAGCUGUAGGAAACAACCAUGUUGGGGCUUUGAGGGAAGCAAAACGUGGCACCUCCCAACCAUGGAGGAGGAGGAGGAGGCAGUGUUUGAAAGUCUGCUAAAUGAGGGGCAAAAAAUGCUUUUUCCUUCAUCACCCAACACCUCCCCUGGCUGCUGUGCCCUUGAAGGACCCUCAGGCCUUCUUUCUUCCACUUGCUCAAGAAGGGACAAACCCAAAAAGAAGGCACCCAUCUUUCUUCGAGUUUCUCAUUAUUAGUCUUUUUUUGAAUAACCUACACAGGACAUGUUUUAUUCAUCUCCUGAUUGGUUCCUUAGUCACUCUGCUGUGGAACCUCUUCAUGACAUACCUGCACUGGACAUACAUCAAUGCCUCAUGCUUGCAGGGACUGUUCAGUUACCUAGACCAGGGCCAAAUAGGGGAGCCCCGGGAUUUGAUACUGAGAUGGUUCAGGGCUCUGCCAAAGACACCAGCUAAGACAGAGACAUAGUGGGAAGCAGGCUCUCUACAAGGCACCAAAUAGACAUGAAGGAGACUAACUUUUCAAGGGAAGGUAGAAAAAGCAGCAUGACAGACAGGAGCAGAGGGUUUUCAUCUUCUUCCCUCCCACCUUCACCAGCUGGAUCUGGACCCUGCAGAAGGUUGUCUUUUCCACAGUAGCCUGGUCCUAGUAGCAGAUUCCAGGCUCUGAGCUGUGGUAAGUACUAUUAUUAGGGUCUGGGGGCAACUGAAUGAGCAUUCCCACCAUGCACUCAAUAGUUAGGCCGAAUUGGUCUACAGUGAGCAGCAUGAGUUAUCCUCAAAAUGACGUGUGGGGGGAAAGUAAAAUGAAAACCAGGGAGUAAAAAGCAAAAUAAAAGUAUAAACUAGGGAUCCAAGUCAAAGAACCUGUGAUUGGUGGGAUGGCCUUUGAUGUGCUCUUCUUUUUUUUCUUUUGAGAUGGAGUCUUGCUCUGUUGCCCAGGCUGGAGUGCAGUUGUGUGAUCUCAGCUCAUGGCAUCCUCUGCCUCCCAGGUUCAAACAAUUCUCCUGCCUCAGCCUCUCAAGUAGCGGGAUUACAGGCAGGCACCACCAUAUCUGGCUAAUGUUUGUAUUUUAAGUAGAGACAGGGCUUCACCAUGUUGGCCAGGCUGGUCUCAAACUCCUGACUUCAGGUGAUCUGCCCGCCUUAGCCUCCCAAAGUGCUGAAAUUAUAGGUGUGAGUCACCACACACAGCCUGAUGUGCUCUUUAAUUAGGGCUGGGCGACUUUCAUUAGCCUUCUGAGCCUAUUUCCUUGUCCGCAACAGGAUAGGGAUGAGCCAAGGGAAACCCAAGAUCCCAUCAAGCUUGAAGACCCCGGGUUCCUGGGACUAAACCUUCAAGAGGAACAAGAGAGCAGAGAAGACUUGCAAAAAAUUAUUUAAGGAUAGGAGAUGUUUCUAAAUGUUGCAAAUGUGCCUUCUAUUUCCAUUUCCAUUUCCAAGUUUACAGUGUUUUUUCAAAGAUUAUUUCCCUCGUUAAAUCCCCACAGUGACUAUGAGCCCCCUGGUCUUACAGAGACGGAGAUGAUGUGGCUCCAUGGAGCUAAGAGAGUUGUCCAAAGCGGCAUCCAGCAUGAAUGAGGAUGCAAACCCAGAAUGAGGGCUUGGCCUCCCUUGUUCAACACCUUGGCCUUGAACCCAUCACAUCAGCCUACUUUGCUCUCCACUGCUUCAUCUGCUCCUCAUCUCAUGGUCUCUGAGCCUCUUACCUUGACUCCUGCCCACAGCACAUAUUCGUUCCUGUCCGUGAGAGACUGGAAUUGUUCUCCCUUUACCCCCUCGGGGCUCCCUUCCCCCACCACAAUCUGUACUCAGCCUCGGGUCGCCUUUAUUGUUGUUGACCCAGGUAAUAGUCAACUCAGACCCUGAGACUUGGCCUGGCACUGGCCGAUGUGACCAGUAUCCACAAGAAAGGAGUUCAGCAAUCGCCACACGGAAGAAUUAUGCACACAAAGCAAGAGGGUCUUUCUGCCACAUCGCUGAACAGGAAAAUCAAUUCAACAAAUAUUUAUUGGCACUUACUCUGUGCAAGGCAUAGUCUGUAUAUUAAAAAGAGAAAUGAUAUGGCCUUGAGGUGGUGGGGAAA